RNAcentral lists this ribosomal RNA (480 nucleotides) under Triticum aestivum (bread wheat). RNAcentral describes it as "partial small subunit ribosomal RNA". Lineage: Eukaryota; Viridiplantae; Streptophyta; Magnoliopsida; Poales; Poaceae. The record is from RNAcentral.
AUGAGUCGUCCUGAUGGCAUCAACAUCCCCGAUGGCAAGUUCUACCUAGGAGAUGCUAGUUAUGCAUGACAGCCAUGUGUUCUUCCAUCCUUUAGGAAAACCAGGUACCAUCUGAACGAGUUCGUUGGUAGGAACUACCAUAGGACUCCACAGGAGUUGUUUAAUCUCAAACACUCCAGCCUUAGAAUUACUGUUGAGAGGGGAUUUGGAGCUCUAAAGAACAUGUUUAAGAUCUUAGAUCAGAAGCCAUUCCACACUUUCCCCACUCAGGUUAAGCUUGUUCUUACUUAUUGCAUUCUGCAUAACUGGAUCAUGCAAUGGUUUUGUGAUGAACUGGUGCCCGAGGAGGAAGAGGUGACGCCUGACGAUGUUGUCAGCUCCGGCCAUGAUGUGGAGGCAUUUGACAAUGAAGCUUGGAAGAACAAAAUGAUGGAGUGGGCACAUGCAAUGUCAGAUAACAGAUGUCAAACAAUGAUCUGA